AGAACGAACGCUGGCGGCAGGCUUAACACAUGCAAGUCGAACGCUCCGCAAGGAGAGUGGCAGACGGGUGAGUAACGCGUGGGAAUCUACCUGAUACUACGGAACAACAGAGGGAAACUUCUGCUAAUACCGUAUACGCCCUACGGGGGAAAGAUUUAUCGGUAUCAGAUGAGCCCGCGUAAGAUUAGCUAGUUGGUGGGGUAAUGGCCUACCAAGGCGACGAUCUUUAGCUGGUCUGAGAGGAUGAUCAGCCACACUGGGACUGAGACACGGCCCAGACUCCGUACGGAGGCAGCAGUGGGGAAUAUGGACAAUGGGCGAAAGCCUGAUCCAGCCAUGCCGCGUAGAGUGAUGAAAGGACCGUUAGGGUUAGUAAAGCUUCUUUCAGGUGGGGAAAGAUAAGUAGACGUAACCCACAAGAAAGAAGCCCCGGUAUAACUUCGUGCC
RNAcentral lists this ribosomal RNA (447 nucleotides) under uncultured soil bacterium. Its description in RNAcentral is "bacterial SSU rRNA". It matches the Rfam family "Bacterial small subunit ribosomal RNA", at positions 26 to 509 of the family's 1533-position model. The record is from RNAcentral.